GGGAAAGAAGCACUAUGGCAGUGUGGUUGGCUUGAAACCAGCAGGAGGGGGUUCAAUUCCUUCCUUUCUCG
RNAcentral lists this transfer RNA (71 nucleotides) under Phrynosoma sherbrookei. RNAcentral's name for it is "tRNA-Ser". It matches the Rfam family "tRNA". From Rfam's summary of the family: Transfer RNA (tRNA) molecules are approximately 80 nucleotides in length. Their secondary structure includes four short double-helical elements and three loops (D, anti-codon, and T loops). Further hydrogen bonds mediate the characteristic L-shaped molecular structure. tRNAs have two regions of fundamental functional importance: the anti-codon, which is responsible for specific mRNA codon recognition, and the 3' end, to which the tRNAs corresponding amino acid is attached (by aminoacyl-tRNA synthetases). tRNAs cope with the degeneracy of the genetic code in two manners: having more than one tRNA (with a specific anti-codon) for a particular amino acid; and 'wobble' base-pairing, i.e. permitting non-standard base-pairing at the 3rd anti-codon position. The record is from RNAcentral. Lineage: Eukaryota; Metazoa; Chordata; Lepidosauria; Squamata; Phrynosomatidae.